GACGAACGCUGGCGGCGUGGAUUAGGCAUGCAAGUCGAACGACGAAUAGCCUUCGGGCUAUUACGGAGUGGCGAACGGGUGAGUAACACGUGAUUAACCUGUCCUCACGUUCCGGAUAAUUGGGAGAAAUCCCUUGUAAUACGGGCGAGGGUCAUUAAAGGGCAUCCUUUGAUGAAGGAACAAGCAAUUGGUGCGAGGAGGGAAUCGCGGCCUAUCAGUUAGUUGGUGGGGUAACGGCCUACCAAGACGACGACGGGUAGCUGGUCUGAGAGGAUGGUCAGCCACAUUGGAACUGAGAUACUGUCCAGACUCCUACGGGAGGCUGCAGUCGAGAAUCUUGGGCAAUGCACGAAAGUGUGACCCAGCGACGCCGCGUGGAGGAUGAAGGUGCUCUGCAUUGUAAACUCCUUUUAUGGGAGAAGAAAACCCCCUUUGGGGCUUGACGGUAACCCAUGAAUAAGCCACGGCUAACUACGUGCCAGCCGCCGCAGUAAC
Molecule: ribosomal RNA, 495 nt
Filed under: uncultured bacterium
Lineage: Bacteria
Description: bacterial SSU rRNA
Rfam family: Bacterial small subunit ribosomal RNA
Source: RNAcentral